UACGGAGGUCUCGAGCGUUGUUCGGAUUCAUUGGGCGUAAAGGGUGCGUAGGUGGCGACGUAAGUCUGGUGUGAAAUUUCGGGGCUCAACCUCGAAACUGCAUUGGAUACUGCGUUGCUAGAGGAUUGUAGAGGAGAGUGGAAUUCACGGUGUAGCAGUGAAAUGCGUAGAUAUCGUGAGGAAGACCAGUUGCGAAGGCGACUCUCUGGGCAAUUCCUGACACUGAGGCACGAAGGCUAGGGGAGCAAACGGG
This 253-nucleotide ribosomal RNA is filed under the name uncultured bacterium. Its description in RNAcentral is "partial 16S ribosomal RNA". It matches the Rfam family "Bacterial small subunit ribosomal RNA", at positions 524 to 776 of the family's 1533-position model. The record is from RNAcentral.